RNAcentral lists this ribosomal RNA (256 nucleotides) under uncultured bacterium. RNAcentral describes it as "partial 16S ribosomal RNA". It matches the Rfam family "Bacterial small subunit ribosomal RNA", at positions 524 to 776 of the family's 1533-position model. The record is from RNAcentral.
GACAGAGGGUGCAAACGUUGCUCGGAAUCACUGGGCGUAAAGGGCGUGUAGGCGGGAAGGAAAGUCGGGCGUGAAAUCCCUGGGCUCAACCCAGGAACUGCACUCGAAACUUCUUUUCUUGAGUGCCGGAGAGGAAAGCGGAAUUCCUGGUGUAGAGGUGAAAUUCGUAGAUAUCAGGAGGAACACCAGUGGCGAAGGCGGCUCUCUGGAACGCAACUGGACGCUGAAGACGCGGAAAGCGUGGGGAGCAAACAGG